GGAGACUGGAGGAUGGCUGCAUGAUUCAUAACCCUUCCACUGGCAUGGAGGGUACAAAAGGCUCAUGGGCUCAAUUUUGAAGGGCUGGUUUUGGGAGAGGGCUAUUGGUGUACUGAGACUCUGACAUUCUCCCAUGGGGGAUGAGGCACUUCUGCCAUUCCUCAAGUCAAGAGAGAGGCGAUUUAAGGAGAAGGCAAAAACUUAAUAUGGAGUUCUGAUGGUUUGGUGAGCAUCACAGUGCAGGUGGGCCGUACACAAUCAGCUGAAUGUGCAAAUAGAGCAAAAAGACCAAAUUUCCUGAGCAAGAGAGAAUUCUUCAGCAGAUGCCCUUGGAUUUUAUUACAUCACCAGCUCUCUUGGGUCUCCAGCCUGUGGAUACACACUACAGAUUUGGGACUUGCCGGCCUCCAUAAUCACAUGAGAACCAUAUCUACAAGGAACAUCAUUUCCAUGCCUACCCCAAGGGGUGUAGCCAGUGAAAGCAGUAUCUCCUGGCAGUGGAUUAAUUGGGAGAUGCAUAUAGCUUCAGAAGCAGAUGCUGAGCCUCAAAUCUGCUAGGAUUGUCCUGAAUGAGAGUCUUAUCUCCUGCAGAGAAAGAGCUGAAAUUGUUGAAAAACAGACACAAGUUCUUAUCAUCAGCAUGAAAGAAACAGAAUGAAGGUGGACACAAGCAAAGCUCUGUCAGAUUUCAUCUACCAUCAAAAUCUCAACUUCUAUAGAUCAGAAGAUGUUUGCUCUAGCCCAGUACUUCAUAUUCCAGGCUGAGAUGCCUCCCAAUAGUGCAUACAUGAAAAUUCUGCUCCACCUGGACAGGUUGAGUGAAAAAUCUCAGCUAGUCUAAAGAAUACUGAGGAUCCUUUAAAGAAGUUUGGGGAGAAAUCCAGGCAGGUGAGAGAUGAGGAUCCAGUUUUAUUCUCUGGCCUGGUGUUUGCUUCAGCUCAAGAGUUCAAGACCAGCCUGGGCAACAUGGUGAAACUCCAUAUCUCCCUCACCCCAGCAAAAAAAAGUUUACUCCUGCCAACGUGUCCUUGGCACAUUUUCCAGACUCUAACGUCUGCUCUGCCUCAGUAGUGAGUAUACAAUCAUUUUCCUUAGAAAUUUAUGAAAAUCACUUCUGUUCUCCUGGUUCCAUUUCUCGAUCUUUUUUUCUGUUGUUGGUUUACACUAUAUUCUUUUAUGAACAUUUCAAAUCCUUAGGAGGCAAGGGAUAUAAAUCUGUUUUCCGACUACCAUCGUAACCUGUAAAUCUCCUGUAAGUUUUAUAAAAAUUAUGUAAUACUGGUAAAAUCAUACUAUUAACAAUCCAAGUGAAACCAUUUACUAUACUUUUCCUUACAUUAAAAAUUAUAAUCUGUAUUUUUAAAGAUAAUGAGGCACAUUGAGUAGAAUGCUUAACACCUGUCACUUUUAUGUAAUCUCUCAUUCAACAUUUUAUUCAUUUUCUUAGUUCAUUCUGCGGUCUAAAAUGGAAAACAGCUGGCCACCUAUAGGAAAAAGGAUAUGAAAUAAAUAAAAUGUUUGUUUUGUAAUUUUGAUGGUUAUAUGCCCUAAAAGAGGUGCAUGGGUCAAAGACGUUUCAAUACAUAAUGCAGACACUGUGGAAUAGGACCAGCCCAAUGCCAAUAGCAUCUCUUCUGUCAGCUAAUAUGUUCAACUUGCUACAAUACAAAAUCAUUUAUGCCUGUGUUUGUCUUCUGUUUACUUUGGUGAUGAAAGGAUUCCUGCCUUAUAGCUAAAUAUAGUACACCCAACACUGGACAAAGGAGAUCAAUGGCAGUUUUAGUCAAUGUACUCACAGCCAGGGGAGGAGGACACUGUAUACUACAUAGGGCCACACAGGGGUUACCUUUGGGAACAGAGUGAACCAACCAGGAGUUGUGGCAUGCAAGAUUCUUAGUAACAAUAGGGUGGAGUGUCCUUUUGUUCCCAUGGGAUGAUCACAUUGGCUUCUUGGAAUAAUUCUGUAGGCUGGCAGGAAAGUGAAACUUGCUACUCAGGGAUAAGCAGAAAUUGUGCCUGGUCUGUUUAAUAAGGAGUGUUAUUUGGCUAGUUGGCUAGUAGAACUUAUCCAUGGGAGUAGAGUGGGGAGGAAACUUGCACUUGAGCCAUUUGAAGCCCUCUUGAUCUCACCAUAUGUCAUGGUAACACAUAGUAUUGGAUCUUAAUUUGAGGCCUUGACCUACACUGGGUACCAUAUGUGAAUAGUUUUUAGAGGAGAACAUUGAGUCUGAUAUAUGCUUGUUCACUUCCCCCCAGUACUUAGACUUACCAGGAUUGUUUUCUGCAUAGGCAUAGUCUGUACAUUCUCGAGAAAUCUACCAUCUCUAGAGUUUGACCUGGUCAAGAAGUCUGGUUUUCUAAAAUCUGUAGAAAAUAUUUUCUGGACUG
Callithrix jacchus (white-tufted-ear marmoset) is the source of this 2388-nucleotide long non-coding RNA. RefSeq lists it as uncharacterized. The record is from RefSeq and is a predicted model, not a curated record. NCBI's taxonomy places the organism in Eukaryota, Metazoa, Chordata, Mammalia, Primates, Cebidae.